This is a long non-coding RNA of Gossypium arboreum, 622 nucleotides long. RefSeq lists it as uncharacterized. NCBI's taxonomy places the organism in Eukaryota, Viridiplantae, Streptophyta, Magnoliopsida, Malvales, Malvaceae. The transcript has 2 exons. The record is from RefSeq and is a predicted model, not a curated record.
GACGGUGGUAGUGGACGGUGGUGGGGGCUUAAAAUGUUUUAAAUGCUAGAAAUUUAUUAUUAAAAAAAUAGAUAAAAUAUAAAAACAUGUGGAGAGAAGAAAGCCAAGGAUAUUUUUUUUUCUUUUAAUUUUCUUUCUUCCAUCCGAAUAUUUUUUUUCUUAGGCUGGUGGAAAUGAAAGAAAUUUCAGCUUAUUUUCGGGUUACUGUUCGAAUUUCUGGAGGGAGAAGGAAAAAUCCCUUUUCCAUUCGUCUAAAGGAAAGGCUGCAGCAAGAUGGGGGAAGAACUGGUUCAAGGCUAGGCUCGGCUUGGAAUUUCUGUGCGCAGGUUAGGUACUCUAUUUUGAUCGCUGACUUAGCAUCCAACAACAACAAUCCCGAUCUUAAGUGUGGUGAUGUUUAAUUUUGUAAUGACAUGUACUUAGGAUGUUUUUGGUUGUUAGUUGUUUUGUGAAUUUUUCCUAAGCUUUUAAAAUGAUUUAAAAUUGGUCCUGAAUUAUUUCUAAAGUAUUUUUAGGGCCUUGAGGGUUUGAUUUAGGGACGAUAUGUGCAUGUAAGAAUGGUUUAAGUUAUGUUUAUGAUUUUGAAUGAAAUUAUUUAUAAAUGUUCCAAUUGUACAGUAAA